This 253-nucleotide ribosomal RNA is filed under the name uncultured bacterium. Its description in RNAcentral is "partial 16S ribosomal RNA". It matches the Rfam family "Bacterial small subunit ribosomal RNA", at positions 524 to 776 of the family's 1533-position model. The record is from RNAcentral.
UACGUAGGGACCGAGCGUUGUCCGGAUUCAUUGGGCGUAAGGAGCUCGUAGGCGGCCACUCAAGUCGAAUGUGAAACCUCGAGGCUUAACCUCGAGCCUGCAUUCGAUACUGGGCGGCUAGAGUCUGGUAGGGGGAUCUGGAAUUCCUGGUGUAGCGGUGGAAUGCGCAGAUAUCAGGAGGAACACCGGUGGCGAAGGCGGCAUCCUGGACCAACACUGACGCUGAGGAGCGAAAGCCAGGGGAGCAAACGGG